RNAcentral lists this ribosomal RNA (158 nucleotides) under Monilinia fructicola. Its description in RNAcentral is "5.8S ribosomal RNA". It matches the Rfam family "5.8S ribosomal RNA". Rfam says of the family: 5.8S ribosomal RNA (5.8S rRNA) is a component of the large subunit of the eukaryotic ribosome. Lineage: Eukaryota; Fungi; Ascomycota; Leotiomycetes; Helotiales; Sclerotiniaceae. The record is from RNAcentral.
UUAAAACUUUCAACAACGGAUCUCUUGGUUCUGGCAUCGAUGAAGAACGCAGCGAAAUGCGAUAAGUAAUGUGAAUUGCAGAAUUCAGUGAAUCAUCGAAUCUUUGAACGCACAUUGCGCCCCUUGGUAUUCCGGGGGGCAUGCCUGUUCGAGCGUCA